UGCACACAAGCUGUAGUGGGAUUUUACUCCUGCUGUGGCGAAGCUAACGCAAUUAGUGUGCCGCCUGGGGAGUACGGUCGCAAGACUAAAACUCAAAGGAAUUGACGGGGGCCCGCACAAGCGGUGGAUUAUGUGGUUUAAUUCGAAGCAACGCGCAGAACCUUACCUAGGCUUGACAUCCCACGACAUCCGUAGAAAUACGGCUUUGUAGCAAUACACGUGGAGACAGGUGCUGCAUGGCUGUCGUCAG
RNAcentral lists this ribosomal RNA (250 nucleotides) under uncultured bacterium. RNAcentral describes it as "partial 16S ribosomal RNA". It matches the Rfam family "Bacterial small subunit ribosomal RNA", at positions 810 to 1058 of the family's 1533-position model. The record is from RNAcentral.